AGCGAACGCUGGCGGCAGGCUUAACACAUGCAAGUCGAGCGCCGUAGCAAUACGGAGCGGCAGACGGGUGAGUAACACGUGGGAACGUACCUUUUGGUUCGGAACAACACAGGGAAACUUGUGCUAAUACCGGAUAAGCCCUUACGGGGAAAGAUUUAUCGCCGAAAGAUCGGCCCGCGUCUGAUUAGCUAGUUGGUGAGGUAACGGCUCACCAAGGCGACGAUCAGUAGCUGGUCUGAGAGGAUGAUCAGCCACACUGGGACUGAGACACGGCCCAGACUCCUACGGGAGGCAGCAGUGGGGAAUAUUGGACAAUGGGCGCAAGCCUGAUCCAGCCAUGCCGCGUGAGUGAUGAAGGCCCUAGGGUUGUAAAGCUCUUUUGUGCGGGAAGAUAAUGACUGUACCGCAAGAAUAAGCCCCGGCUAACUUCGUGCCAGCAGCCGCCGCCG
Molecule: ribosomal RNA, 449 nt
Filed under: uncultured bacterium
Lineage: Bacteria
Description: partial 16S ribosomal RNA
Rfam family: Bacterial small subunit ribosomal RNA
Source: RNAcentral